AUACUGCCUAGCUUCUCAGAAAGGAAAAUAAAAAUCUAAUUGAAGCUUAAAAGAGAUGAUUUAUAUCUCUCUUUAAAUUUCUCAAUAAACCUGCAACGCUGUAACAAAAUUCAGAAAUUGAUGAAUUCCAUUUUGCAGGUUCUUGUGAAGAGGUUUUGUGUGACUGAUGUGGUUCAUGCACCACGCAUACUAGCAGCUAGCUAUGUUUGGACUAUGCACUCCGGUUUUCUGGAAUCUUGUACUGAUUGAAAGUUAUUUUGGCCAAAGUUUUGCUUCUACAGCCAACAGCUUCCAACAAAAGUCAAAGAAAAAAGAAGUGUACUUUUUUUCUCCCAUCCUCUCUCCCCAAUGGUCCUACUCUGGCUGCUGGGAUGUUGCUGAUCAAGUAAUUUCUUUCUCCCAUUUUACAUAAGAUAUUUACAAAGAUAUAAUAGUAUAUUUUUCUUAUCCUUCUUGUUAUAUGCUUAACUGAAUUCAGCAGGUUAAUUUUAUUAUUCUUCUUAGAUGUUUGGUGCUCUUGAUUAGCAUUAAUGUGUAGUACUUAUAGAUGAGAAUGAAAGCUGGCUUGCAGUCAUUUUCUAAAGAGUUGUGUGCUGCGAAAUCGAGUGGAAAGAGCAUAAAUCAUCUGGCAAUGAAGCAGAUAAAGGAAAAGAAAAAAAAUUGCUGGUAAGUGAGGCUACCAAAAGAAGAUGAGCACUUCGUUCAACCUUGCUUAAAAGAAACAACUAAUGCCAUUUAAUUCCAAUAAGGUAGCAUUGAUCUUAGCAUUUUCUCUUUGUUGUAGUAAUCAAACAAUCAAAGAUGGGGCUGUAUGGGGGAGACUUGGCAUACGAUAGCUCGUUGGCAUCCUGCCACACUAGUCCUGAGGGCUUUUUGAGGGUAGACUAGAAAGAGUAAUAAUAGUUGAAGGAUGUGUUUUCUGUAUUUAUUCACUAACAUUAACUCAAAUAAAAAUCAAACAUUUUAUAGGAUUGC
This is a long non-coding RNA of Hevea brasiliensis (rubber tree), 975 nucleotides long. RefSeq lists it as uncharacterized. The transcript is spliced from 2 exons. The record is from RefSeq and is a predicted model, not a curated record. NCBI's taxonomy places the organism in Eukaryota, Viridiplantae, Streptophyta, Magnoliopsida, Malpighiales, Euphorbiaceae.